Molecule: long non-coding RNA, 251 nt
Filed under: Vigna radiata
Lineage: Eukaryota; Viridiplantae; Streptophyta; Magnoliopsida; Fabales; Fabaceae
Description: long non-coding RNA (VRAD_LNC008379)
Source: RNAcentral
CAAAAUUCACCGUUGGGCCGUCCAAUGCGAGGAGGAGGCACUUGGCGUGGACGCUGGGCAGAUUUGCGAUUAGAGGCAAACCGCCAGGCGGUGGCCCCCUGCCGUCAGGCGGUGGCGCGAUUAGGGGCAAACCGCCGGGCAGCAUAAGUGUGCCGCCGGGUGGUUGUCCGCUGGGCCUGGGCUUGUUUUCUGUGACACUCCUCAACUAUAAAUACCCUGUUACGAUUUCAUUCUCAUUCUUUUGACAAAAG